RNAcentral lists this unclassified non-coding RNA (1606 nucleotides) under Leishmania donovani. RNAcentral describes it as "gene:LdHU3.16.0150(CDS-product:hypothetical_prote in_conserved)". Lineage: Eukaryota; Euglenozoa; Kinetoplastea; Trypanosomatida; Trypanosomatidae. The record is from RNAcentral.
CCUCACGAGGGACGCGCUUGUGAUCAACGGCCUCGCGUGCGUACAACAGGCGGGUGACGGCCGGCGACAGCACAGGCGUGUUAGCACGCGAGGAAGCGAAAACACACACGUUCACGGGGGAGAGGGGAGGUGGCUAUUGGAACGCACCGGCACACGUGGGCUGCCGUGGAGAGAGAAGCGCCGUCCCUCACUGCCAAGCGCAGCCGCUCCCCUCAGGCGGCGCUGCUUCAACUGCCGCUCGCCUUCUCUGGCACUGAAACACCUCCUUUGCCGACGAGUGCUGCACGAGGCUGGGAUGGGCAGCACAAAACCGGACCUCUCCUGUGCACUGCAGCAGCACCCACAGUCGGUGGGGGAGCGGGCAGGAGAGCGGCUCUUUGUCUACGCGCAUGCUCAACGACAGAACCGAAAGGCUGCUAUGAAGGCUCAGUGCUCCGAUGAAACCGCGGACCUCUACCGUCCCGCGAUGGGGCUGCUCGCCAAGCGCAUGUCGAAGCGGCGUGCACCCUUGCACGGAGUGGCAGCAGCGCCGCGCGCGCCGUCGGUGCAGUUAGAUGAGCCCACAGCGAUCCAAUUGCUAACUUCGGCACUGCCGCGUUACUGGCGGGAAUUUCUCUCCCGCACCGCCGAGCGUGAACGACACCGACUGGCGCGACUGCGAAAACUGAAGCUGCAGGUAGUUGAGAGUGCAGUGGAGGAGUGUACUUUCCAUCCGCGUCUCUCGCCUCAAACGUGUCGAUGCCCUGCGCGUGACUGUGAUAGCUCGGGCGCAGCACCGCACGCGACCCCCUCCACUACCAUUAUCGAUGGCGAGGAGCGAAGCUCCCAUGCCCCCACGGAGGAAUGGGCGGCUGCACUUGCCAUGUUCGAGGCCGAGAUGCAAGCGCUGCACGACACACUGGUGCGUCUUCGCCAAACGUGAACGACGUCGACGUAUAACCGUCGCGGUCUGGUCUCGUUGACGAGUGUCUGUUCUCCGAGGUGCCCACCACGUCGGCUGCUCUUAGCGAGUGUGUGUGUGUGUGGGGGGGGGAGAGUCUCACGCGUUGCUGGCACGCGUGCACGUGCCUCUAUCUCUCACCGUUUGUACGCGAGUCACACAAGUACCUACACACAGACGCACACACGGACGCGCGCCUGCCCGUGCGUAGCGCCAACGCGCACGUGUCCGCUCAGCGGCACGCAUCGUGUACCUCGUCAUGUACACCAUGACACACAAUGGACAAAGAAGAAGCGCAUAACCAGCAGGCGGCACCGGAUCGAGAUGGAGACCUGUCGCUCUGCGAGGAACGCCCUCCUCCCCCCCCCUGACGCCUGACACGCCGCCUGAAAGUGCGCGGCAGGCGAGCACGCACCCGUACAGGCUCGUUCUGAGGUGAGGCCUUUGCAAAACCGCUGACGUCUCGGUGACAGGCGUAGCGCGGAGGAAAGGCGACGGGUGGAGCGUGCCGUUGGUGGCAUCGUGUUCUCCCGCCGAGGGAUCGCACGCGCCACCACGCACGGAGAGCCCGCUUUCCUCAGCGAAUGGCGGAUUUCUUCCUCUGUCCUCCGCACAUCGCCGCCACCUCUUCCUUCCUAUUGUAUCAUCUCUUUGUUACUCUGUCAG